Long non-coding RNA from Rhinolophus ferrumequinum (greater horseshoe bat), 2586 nucleotides. RefSeq lists it as uncharacterized. The record is from RefSeq and is a predicted model, not a curated record. The transcript is spliced from 3 exons. Lineage: Eukaryota; Metazoa; Chordata; Mammalia; Chiroptera; Rhinolophidae.
GACCCAGACCGAGGGAGACCCAGCGGAGCGCACGCCCAGGAAGGAGAGAGCCGGAGAGUUCGGGAGUGGAGACCCCCAGCGAUGGGAGCAGAGGGAUCGAGAGAGAUCAGGCCACUGCCCCCGCCCCUUUCUGGGCCUCAGCGUCCUUACCUGUCCCAAGAAGAUGCUGACACUUGGCUCCAGGCAGGCUGUGAGAACUGAAUGAGCUCCUGCCGGUUUCUGUCUUACCUAGCAAAAGGCAGACAAAGCAGGAAUGGAGAGGCGGUUUCUUCUAGAUCUAUGGGCACACCUCCGGCUGCAACCGCCCAGAAGAUACCCGCGGGGAGUCCCACACCCUACCCCCAGAUGAAGGACCAGGAAGACGACCCCGGAUGGGCCCAGUCAGCCUGGCUCCCCUUCAGCCCCGCGACCCCCGCGCCCCGCGGCGGCGUCAGCACCUGCAACGAAGCGUGUCCUCUUCCUUCUUUACGUCAGCCUUCGGUUCUGAUUGCCCCGGGUCAGAGCAAGCCAGCAGUGGUGACAGCGGCUCUAGGGCCGGCGUGUGGGUCGGUGUCAGUGGGUAGCGCGGGGCGGAGUUCGCCUGGACCCGGUCCGGAUCUUUCUCUCCCGCCCGCAACCCGUUCCCUGCUCUUGCUCCUAGUGUUCGAUUUUGAGUCUGAAGACAUCUGUCCUGCCUUCGAAACAGGAAUUCUCAGGGUUAAAAAACUAUCCCGUCCUCAGCUCGUAGGUCACAGGUCCCGGGGACCCGAAGUCACCUUCCCAUUAGAAAAGCGGGUCUCUGCGACGCCUUCCUGAAUGAGAGUUUCGAGGACUUUUCGUUUUGAAUCAUUUCAAACCCCUGAGAGCUCGGGGCUCGAAUCGUGUUUUGGGACAACGUCUUUAAGACACGCUCGUCCCUCUCCCGUUCAAAUUCUCCCUCUUCGAGUAAUUUACAAAUUUGUUCGUUUGGAAUUGGUGGCUUGUUUUUGUUUUGUAACAUUUUUUUAAUGCGUGAUUUUAUUUAGAAGUGUGCGUUUUAAAAGAUAGAUCCGUAGGUAAGUAGUAACUGCCCGGGGGACCCAGGGCGAUCACGCUGAGCACUGCGCAGACCCUGGGCCUCUCCCUGGGCGUGUCCCGCCUCCAUCUCAAGCCCAUCCCUCCGCCCGCCGGCAGGCUCCCGCAGCAACCUUGGAUCCAAGUCCUGGAAGAAACACCUCCAGGAUAGUGGUGGUCGCCGGUGCCUAGGCUGGUGGGUGCCAAAGAGAUCGCGUGUGGGCUCCUCCCCACGGCGCGCACAAACUCUUCCAGAACGUGCACAGCCGUGGGCGUUGUGCACCUGUGACGAGGGCGCCCGGCCAAGGAUCCUGGGUCUGAUUGCCGCCCGGCUCGGAGAGCUCUGGCCUUCUGAGGAAAGCAAGGGCCGUGGUGGUCACCCCAUCCUGGCAGGUGCCAGGGCGCCCGCUCGCCUCAGGUCUCUGCCCCUCUGAAACCGCGAAGCUACCUCCGCGAGAAGCCUCCGCGACGCAUAGAAAAGGAGAGGACUCCUAACGGAAGCCGGGUAUCUUUAGCCGGACCCGCGAGACACGGGUGAAAAAGUCUCGAGCUUUUCCUUUCACUCUUUUUUCUUUUCCUUCCUUAUUUACCCUCCAUUUCCUCUUCCCUCUCUCCCUCCAUUUACCCUCUUUAUUUCUUCUUGUAUUGUUAACUCGCCCUCUUCCGCCUGCUACUACUCCUGUUGCUCUCUUGCUCUCUCCUUCCUUGCUGCCUCCCCCUUUCCCAGUUUCUUUCAGUCAGAAAUACCGCCAAGCCAAGCCGCAGUUUGUCCUCUAAUAAUAAGGGGACAGGCCUCGCACUCACCCCCACCCCCCAGGUGCCAGAUGCAAAGCUCUUGGAGGGUUCUGUGAACGGUGUACGUGGGCCAGGGUCUCCUCUCAGCCAGAAGGGCAGCCUGGGGGAGGAGGAGGCAGGCCCCAGUCAAGCAAGUCACCCUGGCCCUGUCCCACAGACAGGUGAAGGGGGACCACAACACCUUCUCCAGGAUGUCUUCCAGAAACAGGCGGGAAGCCAGAUAACAUUGCCACAUUCAAGCAGGGACUCACACUGGCAUCUCUCCUCCUUGACACAGAAGUCCCUUCUCCACCGGAGGAUAGGGAGGGGGGCUACAGGAAACAGAGGUCACAGCCACCCCACCCCUCUGAAGCUAGGCCAAGGCCAGCCUCUCUUCCCUGAGCUCCAUGCCAGCCCUCCUCCCUCCUGCUGGUCUUAGCAAGAGGAAUGGGACAGGGGCCUGGUGCCCCGUCCAGGGUUACUAGGCUUACCUACCCCCCCACACCUGUGCUUCCUGCAUCCUCUUAUACUUGCUUCUUGGUGCCAGAACAGACUCACAGGCCCUGCUCAUAAAUGCCCAAAUGCCAUGCAGAGCACACAGGGAGGCCACAAUGAGCCCAGGACCCCUGGCUUCAGGUUCUUCCCUGUUACUGGCUUUGAGCAAGCCCAUUCCCUGACCAAGUUCUGUCUCCCCAAAUGAAAAGACAACAGGGAAAGGACUGGACGAAUCCUUCUUCUUGCCAAUUUUAACAGCCUAGGCCAGGGGUUGUAAAACAUUUU